ACUGAGCGGCGGACGGGUGAGUAACGCGUGGGUAACCUGCCUCAUACAGGGGGAUAACAGUUGGAAACGGCUGCUAAUACCGCAUAAGCGCACAGUACCGCAUGGUGCGGGGGUAAAAACUCCGGUGGUAUGAGAUGGACCCGCGUCUGAUUAGGUAGUUGGUGGGGUAACGGCCUACCAAGCCGACGAUCAGUAGCCGACCUGAGAGGGUGACCGGCCACAUUGGGACUGAGACACGGUCCAA
Molecule: ribosomal RNA, 244 nt
Filed under: uncultured bacterium
Lineage: Bacteria
Description: partial 16S ribosomal RNA
Rfam family: Bacterial small subunit ribosomal RNA
Source: RNAcentral